This 253-nucleotide ribosomal RNA is filed under the name uncultured bacterium. RNAcentral's name for it is "partial 16S ribosomal RNA". It matches the Rfam family "Bacterial small subunit ribosomal RNA", at positions 524 to 776 of the family's 1533-position model. The record is from RNAcentral.
UACGGAGGGUGCGAGCGUUGUCCGGAAUCACUGGGCGUAAAGGGCGCGUAGGCGGCGCGAGCAGUCGAUCGUGAAAGUCCGGAGCUCAACUCCGGAUCGGCGGUCGAUACUCUCGUGCUUGAGCACUGUAGAGGCAGAUGGAAUUCCGGGUGUAGCGGUGGAAUGCAUAGAGAUCCGGAAGAACACCGGUGGCGAAGGCGGUCUGCUGGGCAGUUGCUGACGCUGAGGCGCGACAGCGUGGGGAGCAAACAGG